GAUGAACGCUGGCGGCGUGCCUAAUACAUGCAAGUCGAGCGAACAGACGAGGAGCUUGCUCCUCUGACGUUAGCGGCGGACGGGUGAGUAACACGUGGAUAACCUACCUAUAAGACUGGGAUAACUUCGGGAAACCGGAGCUAAUACCGGAUAAUAUAUUGAACCGCAUGGUUCAAUAGUGAAAGACGGUUUUGCUGUCACUUAUAGAUGGAUCCGCGCCGCAUUAGCUAGUUGGUAAGGUAACAGCUUACCAAGGCAACGAUGCGUAGCCGACCUGAGAGGGUGAUCGGCCACACUGGAACUGGAACACGGGCCAGACUCCUACGGGAGGCAGCAGUAGGGAAUCUUCCGCAAUGGGCGAAAGCCUGACGGAGCAACGCCGCGUGAGGUAAGAAGGGCUUCGGAUCGGAAAACUCUGUUAUUAGGGAAGAACAAAUGUGUAAGUAACUAUGCACGUCUUGACGGUACCUAAUCAGAAAGCCACGGCUAACUACGUG
Molecule: ribosomal RNA, 497 nt
Filed under: uncultured bacterium
Lineage: Bacteria
Description: partial 16S ribosomal RNA
Rfam family: Bacterial small subunit ribosomal RNA
Source: RNAcentral